Podarcis lilfordi (Lilford's wall lizard) is the source of this 7701-nucleotide non-coding RNA. NCBI's taxonomy places the organism in Eukaryota, Metazoa, Chordata, Lepidosauria, Squamata, Lacertidae. The record is from the annotation of a GenBank genome assembly.
CCAAUUGUCCACAGGAAAAGUCGGCGCUCUCCGGCGAUGGCUGUGCGGCUUCACUCCGUGAAAGUAGCAAUCAGUUCGCAGCACCGCGCCGCUCACCCCACUUCACUCCGGCGCCCCAAAAUGGGGUUCCCGGUGAGUGGGGGGCGCUCCUGGCGCCCUGCCGAACCCCACGUUCCCAGGCUUCCUCCGCCUGGGAUUUCUAGCGGGUCCCCACCUUCGCCGCGGCGGGAAGACCCAGUUUCCACGGAGCCCAUUCCUCCAGUCGGAGGAACUCCACCAUUCACCGAUGGCGCUGACCCGGAAGUCCUGGUUUGGAGUCUUUCAAGACCCGGCAACAAAGAAAUGGAGAUGGCUGGCAGGAAUAGAGGCUUUAGUCACGUAAGUUUCUGCAGAAACAUUUGUUAAUGGCAUGCAUUCCAAAAAGUUGCAGAUUCUGUUUACAUAAUUGAUUCUUUCCAUUUCCAAAUAUAUUUUGCAAUGCAAUUUUCUCUACUACCAAAGAUCUACAUAUGUACUCCUCCACAUCAUUAUCCAGGUGAAUGACUGGUGCUUUUCACUACGUUGGAGAGGCAGGAUGCUUCUCUAACCUAGUGAAUGCAGUGAUUUGGAAGAGGCUGAAGGCAUCCUUUUAAAUGGUUUGUGCUGCUUAGUUCAGCUUCAAAAGGACUUGCAGGAAUGUAAAGCUGAGCAACACUGUCAGCGGGCAGUUUAAGACAGUUCAUGGUUCCCUUUAAGUAUCUAAAAACUCUUUUCAGCUAGUGUAGAAAGAUGUACAGGUCAGAGUAAGAUCUCACUCAUCCACAGCUUGGUAGUAGAACAGAAAACUGGACUGGCAUUUAUUACCAAGACUAGAUUAACAGAGGGCUGCUUUCAAUUUUGCAAGGUCUCCUGGAACAAAAUCCAAUGACAUACAUCUCUAUUGAGAUGCACCCAAUACCAACCACGGAUCUUUUUUUGGCAAAGGCACUGAGUAAACUUUACAAACCCUGUAUGCCAGUGGUUCCCAGUUAGCUAAGUACUGCAGACCCUCACCCAAACAUCUCAUGGGAGUAAAAAAACCACCUACUACACCAUUACUAGUAAUAUCAAUUUAAUAGAUUCACAGAGAGCUAAAAACGAGGGAGUUAUAGAAUACAUUUAUCACAGAAUUUUAGUGCUGUGUAGUGGGACUUGAUUCAGUAUACAAUGGACACUGGAGAAUGCAAGUGAGAAUAAGAGUGAGGCUAGGGUGACAUGUUUGUCAACUAUUGAUAAUUGAUUAAAGUAAACUUAGAAUCAUCAUGUUAGAUUUAGAUAAGAUAUAUAUGUGAGAGAUAUCAUAUCAUUUCAAUCAACCCUAUAGUGACUUUGUGGUUAUAGUUUAUAUUUUGUAAUUCAUUUGAGGACAUAGCUAUUUUUGUUUCUGUAUAGCGUCAUUGCUCUCCUCAUGCAUGGGGUGGGUGAUGGAUGUGAGAUGAGGUGGAUGAAGGUGGAUGCAAAUCUAGCAUUGUUUUAAUAUGCUCAUGUCAGGGAACUGACAUCAGAGCGAGAGGCGAAGGGAGGCUCCUGGAUGAUGCUGGAGAAGGACCCAGCAGCAGGGGAGAAGCGACUCAGUGGAGGGGAAGCAUUUAAGCGCAACACCAGGAACAAAAGUGAGCAGAUGGGAAAAUCGGAGAGAGGGCUCACGGACUCUUCACUGGAACUCAGUGAGGAGGGGACAGGUUCCCCGCUACCCACGCCCACCCUGCGCAGAAGGCUCCCGCGCAGUGAGAGGCGGAGGCGAUUGGGUGUCAAACAACUCUUAUGUUGGAAGAGAUUCAAGAAACGCCCACUGACGGAUUCUGCUAGUGACUGAGACAGUCAUGAUCAGAAGGGGCUGUGCAGUCAGAAAGGUUUAACAAGGCAAAUCAGCCUAGAGAGGCACCAGUUUACGCACGAGUAACUCAUACUCAUUACAGCAAUCCGUCAGUCCCUGAAAGUUGCUCGUGCGCAGCAGCAGGCAGGCAGCAUCAUGAGCAAGCCCGGAGAAGCAGGCACCCAAGGGGAGCAGCUGGAGGGCAAACGCUGGAGGAGAGGAACCGAGAUUUGGAGCAGCAUGUGGCCAUUCUGACGGCACGGCUGGAUGAAAGGCGGUCUCAAGAUGCACAGGUCAGACCCACCCCCAUAGCAAGGAAGGUACCGGGACUGGUGCACAAGUUUGGGGAAGCCGCAAGAAUACAGUGCGUUUAGAACGGAAAUAGAGUACGCAUUGGACUUGCAGCAUAACAAUUUUGAAGACGACGCGGCGCGGGUGGCAUAUGUUGUGGGUCACCUGCAGGACGGGGCCAGAGAAUGGGUCAGACCCCUUAUGGCGACGCAGAAUUCCGCCAUGCAGGACCUGAGGAAAUUCUUCCAAGCGAUGGACGCGAUGUUUUCCACUGAUGUUCAAAAAGUGUGACUAAGCGGGAAUUGAUGAACUGUAAACAGGGGAGCCAGUCAGUCAGGGACUACUGGUCGCGCUUUGCCAUGAUAGUUCAUCGCCUCGGGUGGGAACUGGGCUCCGAACCCAUACAGAUGUUAUUCGAGGAGGGGUUGUCCCCAACGGUUAAGGAUGAACUUUCCCGCGCACCCCGCCCACAGGGGAUGGAUCAGCUGACCAAGGCUGUGCUUGCGAUUGGCGCGCGCCAGGAAGCGCGGGCCCAGGAGAGGCGGGAAGGGAGAGAGCAACGUUGCCAUGACUACCGCAUUCCUGAAAUACCAAGGCAGCCCUCCCCGCCAGCAGAGCCAAUGGAAAUAGUUGGGCGCGCGCGCGGAAGUUUCAAGCACCACCGCAGGGCGCCAGCCGGAGGGACAGGAUUGGAAAACCUCCAAAAGGUGUUACCUUUGCCAGCGGCCAGGGCAUUUGCCAGAGCCUGCCCUCAAAGAAAGGCUUGGCAAGGAAUGGUGGGAACCGCAGGGGGUGAGGAGGAGGUGGUAAAGGAACAGGAACAGGGAAACGAGAACGCUUGGCUGCCAAUCAAGGGGCACAACAGCCAAGCCAGCCACCAGUAAAAGUGCCCCAACCAGACCCCCCCAAGGCGGCAAUAGCCAUCGAAGUGGUGCUAGAACUCCCGAACGGGCACCCAGUCAAGGUGAAAGGCAUGCUGGAUUCAGGCAGCUCAUGUAAUUUCUUCAGCAAGGACUUUGCAUUAGAGCACCAGCUCCACUUACUGCCUUUGGAUUUUCCCUUGCAAGUGACCACCAUUGAUGGCAGGGAGCUUCUAGGAGGGGAAGUGACACACCAAACCCCGCCAAUGAGAAUGAGGGUGUCCAGGCAUUCGGAAACCAUCGCCUUUCACGUCGCCUCACUAGCAGGACCCCCAAUAAUAUUAGGGAUGAGCUGGCUAGCACAACAUGAUCCAGUGGUGGCGUGGCAUCAGAGGACAGUCACCUUUGGAUCAGCUUACUGCCUGGAACACUGUCUAGGGGAAGCCCCAAGAAUGACCGUGGCCAGGGUGGCUGGGAUGGCGGUGGAGCGGAAAGGGGAGGUGCCGCCACAAUACGCAGAUCUGCGGGAGGUCUUCAGCGAAAAGGAGGCAGAUAGACUGCCACCCCAUAGGCCCUUUGACUGCCAGAUCAACUUGCUUCCGGGGCUCAGCUGCCAGUGGGUAAGCUGUACGCCAUGUCAGACAGGGAGAUGAAGGAGUUGCGAGAAUUUAUCGACAAGAACCUGAAAAGAGGCUUCAUAAGAGAAUCAAAGGCAGUAGGGGGCAGUCCGGUGUUCUUUGUGGACAAAAAGGACACAAAUAAACCCAGGCUCGUAGUGGACUAUAGAGCUGUCAAUUUGGUGUCAGAACCCGUGACCUUCCCAAUGCCCAGGAUUGACGACAUUUUAACGCGAGUGAGGAAAGGCAAAAUUUUACCAAGCUGGACCUCAGGGCGCAUACAAUUUGAUCAGGAUGAGGGAGGGGACGAAUGGAAGACCACAAUGUUCACACCCCUAGGUGCCUUUGAGUACUUAGUUAUGCCUUUUGGAUUACAGUCAGGCUCCGCCUGUUUUCAAGCUUUCAUGCACCACGUGUUGGGGUCUCUGCUGUACAAGAACUGCGUAGCCUUCUUGGACGACGUCUUAAUUUAUUCGGACAAUGAGGAACAACAUGUUAGAGACGUCAGGGAAGUGUUACAACGACUGCAGAAGCACCAGUUGUGGGUCAAGCUGGAAAAAUGUCAGUUUCACGCCAGAGAAGUCGAGUUUCUGGGGUACAAGUUGUCUGACAAAGGCUUAGCGAUGGACCCAAGCAAGGUGCAGGCAGUGCUGGAGUGGAAGGCUCCCAAGACACGGAAGGACGUACAGAGGUUCCUAGGGUUCAGCAACUUCUACAGGAAGUUCAUCAAGAACUUCGCCCACUUGACAGCGCCAAUCACGGAUUGUCUCAGUAGCAAAAGAAGUUUGUGUGGACAGAAGAGGCCCAGCAAUCCUUCGAAAAACUGAAGAAGGCGUUCGCAUCGGAAGAGCAACUCCUGCACGUAGAUCUGGAGAAACCCCUGAGGCUAGAGACCGACGCGUCCGACAGAGCCGUGGGGGCGGUCCUUUGCAGCCAGGGAAGGGAAAGCAGGAAUGGAAACCGUGUGCCUUUUUCUCCAGAAAACUGAGCAAGUCGGAGCAAAACUAUACAGUGUAUGACCGCGAACUGCUGGCAAUCUACGCGGCCUUUCGUCGUUGGCGUCAUCUACUGAUGGGGCGCAACAACAGAUCCAGGUUUGCACAGAUCACAAGAACUUGGAGUACUGGAGAACCGCACGAGUACUCAACCAGAGACAGAUUCGAUGGGCACAGGAGUUCUCCAAGUUUUUCUUUGAAAUCCGCUACGUGCCCGGAGAAGAAAACGUAAGAGCAGACGCUCUCUCGCGUAAACCGGAGUACCUGGAAGGAGAGGGGCCGCCGGAGAAACGACACGUGAUCCCCGAGGACCGAUGGGUGUGUGUGGGGGAACUUUGGUGGGGAAACGAGAACUAGCCGGGCUGACCAGAAACGACGUGUUCGCGCAAACUAAAAUCCGGGAACUACGAGACGGAAGAGGGACCCAAGAAGGGUUUGAGGAGAAGGAAGGGGUACUGUACUAUAGGGGAGCGCUGUACGUACCGGGGGAGACCCUGAGGGAAAAGGUACUCAAACAACUCCACGACAACCCCACAGCAGGGCACUUUGGACAGCACAAAACCAUGAUGCUUGUGACCAGGCAGUUCUGGUGGCCCAGGGUGAGGGAGGAUGUACGGGAAUAUGUACGGGGGUGCGACCGCUGCCAAAGGGCAAAGGGGAGCGGGCUGCCCCACAGGAUUGCUGGAACCCUUACCCACGCCGGGAAACCCUGGGAGGUGGUAUCCAUUGAUUUUAUGACAGAUUUGCCCAAGUCCCGGGGAAAGACAGCAGUCAUGGUAGUGGUCGACCUACUGACAAAAAUGUGCCACUUUAUAGCUUGCUCACAUGCUGUAACGGCAGAGGAAACAGCCCGGUUGUUUGUGGAGCACAUAUUCCGGCUGCAUGGCACCCCCUUGAGGGUUAUCUCCGACCGCGGAAAACAAUUUACUUCCCGGUUCUGGAGGAAACUCAUGAGCUUACUGCAGGUGGAAGUGGGUUUCUCGACGGCGAGACACCCAGAGACCAACGGGCAAGCAGAAAGAGCGAACAGUAUACUCCAGCAAUACCUACGCUGCUAUGUCAGCGAGAGGCAGAACGAUUGGGUAGAAAAACUAGCGCUGGCUGAAUUCGCGUACAACAACGCGGAACACGUGUCCACGGGAAUGAGCCCAUUCAUGGCCAACCAUGGGUGUCAUCCCAGGGCCUUCCCGGGAGUGGGGAGGAAAGCUGGAGCGUACCCGCCGCAGAGCAGUUUGUGGAGGAAAUGGAGGCCCUACACCAGCAACUUAAGAUGAACUUGGAGCGGGCCAAGGAAACUUACAAGAGGCAGGCAGACAAGCACCGCAGGGAAGGGGAGACCAUACGGGUGGGGGACCGGGUGUGGUUGUCCACCCAAGGGCUACCUUUCAAAGGGGGGUGCAAGAAGUUGCAGCCCAGACGGCUGGGACCUUUUGAGGUAACACAGCAAGUUAAUCCCGUGGCAUUUAAGCUCAGGUUGCCUGAUAGCAUGAAAAUACACCCGGUUUUCCAUAGGUCCCUGCUUUCACCGCAUAGGGAAGGGUGGGAAUUCCAGGGGCAAGAGGGAGAAGUCACCACACACCCGCAGGUAGAAGAAAGGGAACACCACCACAGGGCCACGGAAAUACUGGACUCAAGGUGGCAAGGGCGCCGGGUGGAGUAUUUGGUAGCGUGGGAAGGGGAACCCAGGUCCGAAACACGUGGGUCCCCACGGAAGCCGUCGAGGACAGGUAUCUGGUGGAGGUAUUCCACCACCGGUUCCCGGACAAACCCAAACCCCUGGAGAGAUUCUGGGAGGAGCAAUUUGGAACCACAGAUGAGGAAGAGGGUUUUGAGGGAUUUUCUGACUCCGAGGAGGGAGGAGAGGUUUCGGAGGAAGAAGCAUCAGACGGGGAAGACCACCCCGUUGGUAGGUGGAAGAGCGAUUGGGAAGCGGGUUUCGAACCCACGGAAGAUGGUGACAGUUCCUUCCGGGGUUUCCCCGCCUCCUCGGCCGACGAAGGGGACGAGUUGGUCCCACAGGUCGGCCCAGGGGUGGAGGGGAUUCUGGGGGAGGUGGAUGUCAGGGAACUGACAUCAGAGCGAGAGGCGAAGGGAGGCUCCUGGAUGAUGCUGGAGAAGGACCCAGCAGCAGGGGAGAAGCGACUCAGUGGAGGGGAAGCAUUUAAGCGCAACACCAGGAACAAAAGUGAGCAGAUGGGAAAAUCGGAGAGAGGGCUCACGGACUCUUCACUGGAACUCAGUGAGGAGGGGACAGGUUCCCCGCUACCCACGCCCACCCUGCGCAGAAGGCUCCCGCGCAGUGAGAGGCGGAGGCGAUUGGGUGUCAAACAACUCUUAUGUUGGAAGAGAUUCAAGAAACGCCCACUGACGGAUUCUGCUAGUGACUGAGACAGUCAUGAUCAGAAGGGGCUGUGCAGUCAGAAAGGUUUAACAAGGCAAAUCAGCCUAGAGAGGCACCAGUUUACGCACGAGUAACUCAUACUCAUUACAGCUCAGAACAAUCAUUACUGUGCUAACUCUGCUAUGAGAGAGUAAGGAUCUCUCUUCCAAAACUCUUUCUCCAACACCAACAACAGUCCAAAGCAGAUCUGAGGAGGAUGUGGGUGCAUAUGGAGAGGAGAGAGGGGCAGUUCCGUUGUAGAAAUGGAAAUUCUGGCAAUAGCAGAAGUACUGCAUUGGAUACUUCCCAAACGAAAUUGACUGAAAGUUCUUGUGUGUACCAAAGAGCCUCCAAAGAUGACACCUUCACGUUUUUGUAGUUUCCUAUGAGAAAUCAGUUCAUGUUUAAAAGAAAAGAGACAGUCUUGACCCACAGUUGUUGUUGUUGCUUUCCUUACAUGGUUAGAAUUCUAAAGCCGGGGAGAAAAAUCCAUCCCAAUUGUGGGUGGACGUUAAGAGAGAAAGAGCUGAACAUCUUUUUAAUGGUAGAAGGCACAGGGAGCGGGUGAGGAAGUAGACAUCCAUUCUUGAUUGAUCAGUGCUGCUCUUUCUUUUCAGGUACUGGAUAAAAGGUGAGCCUAAACAUCCACACCAAAACCACUGUGCUGCAAUAGGCCUUGAUUGCGGCUUGAAUUGCUGGAUGGCAUUACACUGUGAGCAACGCA